RNAcentral lists this long non-coding RNA (1394 nucleotides) under Mytilus galloprovincialis (Mediterranean mussel). Lineage: Eukaryota; Metazoa; Mollusca; Bivalvia; Mytilida; Mytilidae. The record is from RNAcentral.
UAUUUAUAGAAAUAAACUAGAGGCUCUAAAGAGCCUGUGUCGCUCACCUUGGUCCAUGUGAAUAUUAAACAAUGGACACAGAUGGAUUCAUGACAAAAUUGUGUUUUGGUGAUGGUGAUUUGUUUGUAGAUCUUACUUUACUAAACAUUCUUGCUGCUUACAAUUAUCUCUAUCUAUAACAGUACUUUCUGUGGAAAAUGUUAUUGAAAAUCUUCAAAUUUUAAGAAAAUUGUUAAAAAUUGACUAUGAAGGGCAAUAACUCCUUAGGGGGUCAAUUGACUAUUUUGGUCAUAGUGACUUAUUUUUAGUUCUUGCUUUGCUGUACAUUAUUGCUGUUUACAGUUUAUCUCUAUCUAUAAUAAUAUUCAAGAUAAUAACAAAAAAACAGCAAAAUUUCCUCAAAAUUACCAAUUCAGGGGCAGCAACCUAACAACCGAUUAUCCGAUUCAUCUGAAAAUUCCAGGGCAGAUAGAAUGUGACCUGAUCAACACUUUUACUUCCUGUCAGAUUUGCUCUUAAUGCUUUGGUUUUUGAGUUAUAAGCCAAAAACUGCAUUUUACCCCCAUGUUCUAUGUUUAGCCAUGGCGGCCAUCUUGGUUUGUUGGCCGAGUUACCGGACACAUUGUUUUAACUAGAUACCCAAAUGAUGAUUAUGGCUAAGUUUGGUUAAAUUUGGCCCAGUAGUUUCAGAGGAGAAGAUUUUUCUAAAAGAUUACUAAGAUUUACGAAAAAUGGUUAAAAAUUGACUAUAAAGGGCAAUAACUCCUAAAGUGGUCAACUGACCAUUUUGGUCAUGUUGACUUAUUUGUAGAUCUUACUUUGCUGAACAUUAUUGCUGUUUACAGUUUAUCUCUAUCUAUAAUAAUAUUCAAGAUAAUAACCCAAAACAGCAAAAUUUCCUUAAAAUUACCAUUUCAGGGGCAGCAACCCAACAACGGAAUGUCCGAUUCAUCUGAAAAUUUCAGGGCAGAUAGAUCUUGACCUGAUGAACAAUUUUACCCCCCCCCCCCCCAUGUCAGAUUUGCUCUAAAUGCUUUGGUUUUUGAGUUAUAAGCCAAAAACUGUAUUUUACCCCUAUGUUCUAUUUUUAGUCAUGGCGGCCAUCUUGGUUGGUUGGCCGGGUCACCGGACACAUUUUUAAAACUAAAUACCCCAAUGAUGAUUGUGGCCAAGUUUGGUUAAAUUUGGCCCAGUAGUUUCAGAGGAGAAGAUUUUUCUAAAAGAUUACUAAGAUUUACGAAAAAUGAUUAAAAAUUGACUAUAAAGGGCAAUAACUCCUAAAGUGGUCAACUGACCAUUAUGGUCAUGUUGACUUAUUUGUAGAUCUUACUUUGCUGAACAUUAUUGCUGUUUACAGUUUAUCUCUAUCUAUAAUAAUAUUCAAGAUAAUAACC